Cavia porcellus (domestic guinea pig) is the source of this 2097-nucleotide long non-coding RNA. RefSeq lists it as uncharacterized. NCBI's taxonomy places the organism in Eukaryota, Metazoa, Chordata, Mammalia, Rodentia, Caviidae. The record is from RefSeq and is a predicted model, not a curated record. The transcript has 2 exons.
UGGACGGGUGUGAAGGGGGCGUUCAGAGUUUCCUCUCUGACGUUCCUGAGUUGGCUGCUGAGGUGCAAAAGAACGAUUCCCAGCGGCCCUGAAAGCUCCAAGUUCCCUCCCUCCUCGGCUGGACUAGAAAGCAAUGGCUUCCCAGUGAGUUCUGUGGCCAAAGGAACCCGAGCCACGCUGUGCUUUACACUGGCAACCAGCUGCAGCUUUCAUCCUCUACAUGAAUUCACAUAGCAUGUACGGCCCAGCGCUGCCCGCACAGCAAGAGGAGCUUUGGAAAACAAGAGUACUGGCAUCAUUUUCUUCCUCUGUCUCCACCACCAUCUUAAAGAUCUCCCAGGAAAGGACCUUGCAGUCUCCUUGGGUGAUUCGCUCAGAGCCCUCCUCUCGGGGCUAAGACAUGCAUCCUUGCCGCUACCUGGAAAUUUCUCCGACAGUUUGUGGUGGUCUCCUGCGUGGCCUCUUUUCAGAGUGCUGUUUCUCAAAGAGCGUGGUCCCACCCUCUCCCUGCAAUGCUUUGCCUCAUCCUUCUGUACACACUGAUAGAAACUGAUGCAAAAAUUUGCAACCCCUAUUAAUUAUGCACAUGAGAUUUCAAUAGCUGGUGAAGGAGAAUUCCACGAAGAUGCAGUAAUCAAGCAGAGUGUCGCAUAAAUUGUACAUUUAUGAGAAGCUAGGUGCAUGGGACAGAAAAUGCAGUGCAUGUGAGUUAGUGGCAGCCGGCAGCCUCGAAUCCGCCGUCAGAUCUCUUGGGUGAACAGGAUGUGGUAACCAAGAGAACAAAUCCUUUGAGGUUUUUCAAGAGACAAUAGAACCUCCUGGGGGAGGAUUCUAGGUACUACAGAGCAUCUUUUCUUAAGCUUUUAUUUUAAUGGGCAUUUGUGUGUGAGAGCAAAGCAAGUCCUGCUCCCAGUGUUAAAGCUUCCCAGAGAGACGCAUGACCUGAAGUCAUACAACUUGCGCCCUUGUUUGGUACCUGGUCCCUUCCUGGUUUUCUCUUCCCUCUCCGCGUGGAGUUCAUUCGGUGGUCCUCUUCAGGUCACAUCUUUCCAUCCUCCUCCAGGCAGGCAGGGCUUCUUCUGCAUGUCAUCAGUUCUUUAUCCUCCUUUACCCUCACUUUAUUCCUAAGCCCUCCCCACUCCUGGCAGUCACAGUAUUGCAUUUAAUGUGUACUUUUUGAUUUAUCUGUCUUCUUGAGACAGAUAUUAUCAUCUUGUUUUGUGGUUUUUUAAAUAAGUGUAAAUGGUAUUGUGCUAGGUGUUUUGCUCUGCUUAUUUUGUUUCAUCAGGAUCAUGCACCUGGGGUCCGCUCAUUCUGACGACGUACUUAUGUCAGUGUGCCUGCCUCCUACUGGGGUGCCCCAAAACCCCGUCCUUAGCAGAAUAGCCUCUCCCUUCUUCCAGGCUGGAUCCCACAUUGCUACUGUCCUUCCUCUGGGGACUUGUGAGCAGUCUUCUCAAGCAAGUUGGUGAGUCCUGAUUAACAGGGCCCCUCUGUCUCGGGGCUGCUCAGCUGCUUUUCGGGGUAGCUCGGCCAAGUGUGCGUGCAGAAGGACUCAGUGGGUUCAGGAUCACUGGACACACAUCAGAAUGGUUUUCCCACCAUUUGACUUGUUUUCAUAUUAAUAAAAACAGGGAUCUGCCUGUAAUACCGGUUAUCUGGGAGGCUGAAGCAGUAAGAUUGAAAGUUCCAGCCCUGACGGGGUGAUUUGGCAAGACUGUCUCAAAAAAUUAACAAGGUGAAAAGAGCUAAGGACAUAGUUCAGUGCAAAGUCCUCAAUCCUGUGCACCCAAACUAGCAAACAAACACGUUCAAGGUAGACUUGGGAUUUUGUCUUAAUAUUCAGCAAAGAAUAUUUCUUUCAUUUUGACUUACUGUUUCAUAGGUUUCUUAAGAGAAUUCAGCUUGAAUUUAGAUUCACUAAUAUACACAGGAUUUAUAUAUAAAUUUGCAGCUAAUUGAAAGCAUCUAAAAUAUUGUUAUUCUACACAAAAUGGAGUGUCAUUGCUUACUCACUUUACUUUUUAACUCUUCAUUUUGAAAUCAUUUCCAAUCUUAUGAAAAAGCUGCAAAAAUACAAUAAAAAUGCUCCCGUAC